GCCCGCUCAGAAACUCAAAUGAAUUGACGGGGGCCCGCACAAGCGGUGGAGUAUGUGGUUUAAUUCGAUGCAACGCGAAGAACCUUACCUGGUCUUGACAUCCCGGAGACCCUUAGGAAACUAGGGGGUGCUUCCAUCUGGAAGAAUCUGGAGACAGGUGCUGCAUGGCUGUCGUCAGCUCGUGUCGUGAGAUGUUGGGUUAAGUCCCGCAACGAGCGCAACCCUUGCCUUUAGUUGCCAGCAGUUCGGCUGGGCACUCUAAAGGGACUGCCGGUGUUAAACCGGAGGAAGGUGGGGAUGACGUCAAGUCCUCAUGGCCUUUAUGACCAGGGCUACACACGUACUACAAUGGCCGAUACAAAGGGCAGCGACACUGCGAGGUGAAGCCAAUCCCGUAAAAUCGGUCUCAGUCCGGAUUGGAGUCUGCAACUCGACUCCAUGAAGUUGGAAUCGCUAGUAAUCGUGGAUCAGCAUGCCACGGUGAAUACGUUCCCGGGCCUU
Molecule: ribosomal RNA, 501 nt
Filed under: uncultured Desulfobulbus sp.
Lineage: Bacteria; Pseudomonadati; Thermodesulfobacteriota; Desulfobulbia; Desulfobulbales; Desulfobulbaceae
Description: bacterial SSU rRNA
Rfam family: Bacterial small subunit ribosomal RNA
Source: RNAcentral